GACGUAGGGUGCAAGCGUUGUCCGGAUUUAUUGGGCGUAAAGAGCUCGUAGGCGGUUCGUCGCGUCGGCUGUGAAAACUCGGGGCUUAACCUCGGGCUUGCAGUCGAUACGGGCGGGCUAGAGUUCGGUAGGGGAGACUGGAAUUCCUGGUGUAGCGGUGAAAUGCGCAGAUAUCAGGAGGAACACCGGUGGCGAAGGCGGGUCUCUGGGCCGAUACUGACGCUGAGGAGCGAAAGCGUGGGGAGCGAACAGG
This 253-nucleotide ribosomal RNA is filed under the name uncultured bacterium. RNAcentral's name for it is "partial 16S ribosomal RNA". It matches the Rfam family "Bacterial small subunit ribosomal RNA", at positions 524 to 776 of the family's 1533-position model. The record is from RNAcentral.